RNAcentral lists this ribosomal RNA (521 nucleotides) under uncultured microorganism. Its description in RNAcentral is "bacterial SSU rRNA". It matches the Rfam family "Bacterial small subunit ribosomal RNA", at positions 9 to 518 of the family's 1533-position model. The record is from RNAcentral.
GAGUUUGAUCGUGGCUCAGGAUGAACGCUGGCGGCGUGCCUAACACAUGCAAGUCGAACGGAGUUUAUGAGGAAGAAGCUUCGGCGGAAUUCUUAUAAACUUAGUGGCGGACGGGUGAGUAACACGUGGAGAACCUGCCUCUUACCGGGGGACAGCAGUUGGAAACGACUGAUAAUACCGCAUAAGCGCACGAGACCGCAUGGUCCUGUGUGAAAAGAUUUAUCGGUAAGAGAUGGCCCCGCGUCUGAUUAGCCAGUUGGCGGGGUAACGGCCCACCAAAGCGACGAUCAGUAGCCGGCCUGAGAGGGUGAACGGCCACAUUGGGACUGAGACACGGCCCAGACUCCUACGGGAGGCAGCAGUGGGGGUAUUGCACAAUGGAGGAAACUCUGAUGCAGCGACGCCGCGUGAGUGAAGAAGUAUUUCGGUAUGUAAAGCUCUAUCGGCAGGGAAGAAGACCUCGAAAGAGGGGAUGACGGUACCUGAGUAAGAAGCCCGGCUAACUACGUGCCAGCAGCCGC